CCUGCUGGCUUCUGGAAACGAACCGAGGAGCAGAGGAGCGUGAGCUCGACCUGGAUGUCAGCGACGGCAAAGCCCUGGCAGCAGCUGCACCCUGGGGACCCUGUGGACUUGGCCCUGGCUGGGCAGAGAGGAACCUGCUGUCCCAGAGCUCACCCCCUUUCCCUGACCCGGGAUGCACGUGUGUUUUGAAACGUCCCCAUGGACCUUCCCUGCUGCAGGGGCGCUGGUUCCUGGCCUGGAUGUCCGCCAUGUAGUAUUCGUGAGAGUCUGCCAGGUCCGCCAGCCGCUGCCUGUACGCCGCGUGCAGGGGGAUCCAAGGGCUGGUUUCCUCCUGGAGCAAAAAAGCAAAGCUCGAAGGAGCGGGGGGCACGACACACUGCGAGCCAACCCGUGUCAGCCCCAGCGUCGAGGAUGGCAGAGCAGCAAGGCCGCGGGAUCCUGUGCACCCCACAAGCUCAGCCAGGAAGAGGGGGAGAAAAGUCCCGUCCACCUAACACCCAUGCAGCGAGAUGGUGACAAGCCUGCAAUUCAACACUGGGGUCCGGGCUCUCUGAGCUCUGCCUCACGGCCGUGCAACAGGGUUGAUGGUGUAGUUUUAGUACCAGGUGAGACGGGGGUUUGUUUGGAUGGGGCUGGACAAGAUAUGACCCCUGCAGCUCUUCCCAGCCCCGCUGCUCCGUGACUCGAUGAGACGGCUGCGCUGCUUCAGGGGACGGCGCAGGGCUCGUCCCUUAGGUCGGGGUGGUGGGUUGGGGGGUCCCAGGCAGCAUGGCCAAUGCUUGUGGUUUCACUGCAAGUCUCGCAAGCCUCAAGGAAACCCGGCAGGCUGAAGGCCCCUGCCCCAAACGACAAACACAGCACUUACAUUUUCCAUUUUGUCUCCUGUUUUUGGGGACCUGCCUUGUAAUUUUUUACCUCUUUGGGGCUGACAGCACUGCAGAGGUAAACCCCCUCCCUCCACCUCCAGUCACCGGUGAGGAUUGCACCCAGGACCUCUGCAUCUUCUUAGAUGCUCAGAGUAAAUAAAAGCCUGUGCCAACUUGCUCCAA
Long non-coding RNA from Alligator mississippiensis (American alligator), 1049 nucleotides. RefSeq lists it as uncharacterized. NCBI's taxonomy places the organism in Eukaryota, Metazoa, Chordata, Crocodylia, Alligatoridae. The record is from RefSeq and is a predicted model, not a curated record. The transcript has 2 exons.